UACUCCUACGGGAGGCAGCAGUGGGGAAUUUUGGACAAUGGGCGAAAGCCUGAUCCAGCAAUGCCGCGUGAGUGAAGAAGGCCUUCGGGUUGUAAAGCUCUUUUGUCAGGGAAGAAACGGUGGACUCUAAUACAGAUCACUAAUGACGGUACCUGAAGAAUAAGCACCGGCUAACUACGUGCCAGCAGCCGCGGUAAUACGUAGGGUGCAAGCGUUAAUGGAAUUACUGGGCGUAAAGCGUGCGCAGGCGGUUUGGUAAGACAGAUGUGAAAUCCCCGGGCUCAACCUGGGAAUUGCAUUUGUGACUGCCCGGCUAGAGUGUGUCAGAGGGGGGUAGAAUUCCACGUGUAGCAGUGAAAUGCGUAGAGAUGUGGAGGAAUACCGAUGGCGAAGGCAGCCCCCUGGGAUAACACUGACGCUCAUGCACGAAAGCGUGGGGAGCAAACAGGAUUAGAUACCCUGGUAGUCCACGCCCUAAACGAUGUCUACUAGUUGUUGGGUCUUAAUUGACUUAGUAACGCAGCUAACGCGUGAAGUAGACCGCCUGGGGAGUACGGUCGCAAGAUUAAAACUCAAAUGAAUGACGG
RNAcentral lists this ribosomal RNA (587 nucleotides) under uncultured Herminiimonas sp. RNAcentral describes it as "bacterial SSU rRNA". It matches the Rfam family "Bacterial small subunit ribosomal RNA", at positions 334 to 916 of the family's 1533-position model. Lineage: Bacteria; Pseudomonadati; Pseudomonadota; Betaproteobacteria; Burkholderiales; Oxalobacteraceae. The record is from RNAcentral.